CAGCAGCCGCCGCGGUAAUACAGAGGGUGCGAGCGUUAAUCGGAUUUACUGGGCGUAAAGCGUGCGUAGGCGGCUAAUUGAGUCGGAUGUGAAAUCCCCGAGCUUAACUUGGGAAUUGCAUUCGAUACUGGUUAGCUAGAGUGUGGGAGAGGAUGGUAGAAUUCCAGGUGUAGCGGUGAAAUGCGUAGAGAUCUGGAGGAAUACCGAUGGCGAAGGCAGCCAUCUGGCCUAACACUGACGCUGAGGUACGAAAGCAUGGGGAGCAAACAGGAUUAGAUACCCCCGUAGUCACUGUCUCUUAUAC
Molecule: ribosomal RNA, 304 nt
Filed under: uncultured bacterium
Lineage: Bacteria
Description: partial 16S ribosomal RNA
Rfam family: Bacterial small subunit ribosomal RNA
Source: RNAcentral